This 253-nucleotide ribosomal RNA is filed under the name uncultured bacterium. RNAcentral's name for it is "partial 16S ribosomal RNA". It matches the Rfam family "Bacterial small subunit ribosomal RNA", at positions 524 to 776 of the family's 1533-position model. The record is from RNAcentral.
GACGUAGGGCGCGAGCGUUGUCCGGAUUUAUUGGGCGUAAAGAGCUCGUAGGCGGCUUGUCGCGUCGUUCGUGAAAACCUGUGGCUCAACUACAGGCUUGCGGUCGAUACGGGCAGGCUGGAGUUCGGUAGGGGAGACUGGAAUUCCUGGUGUAGCGGUGAAAUGCGCAGAUAUCAGGAGGAACACCGACGGCGUAGGCAGCGCCCUGGACGACACCUGACGCUGAGGCACGAAAGCUGGGGGAGCGAACAGG